This is a long non-coding RNA of Perca flavescens (yellow perch), 363 nucleotides long. RefSeq lists it as uncharacterized. The record is from RefSeq and is a predicted model, not a curated record. The transcript has 3 exons. NCBI's taxonomy places the organism in Eukaryota, Metazoa, Chordata, Actinopteri, Perciformes, Percidae.
GGCCAGUAUUGCGCCAGUGUGGGACUCUCAGAGCCCUCUGGAAGCUGCAAAGAGCGCUUCUACUGUAGAGAGGGAGCUAAGUCUGCAACUCCUGCGGAUGGACCGACAGGAGGUUUGUGUCCGGCAGGAAGUUACUGUCCUCUAGCUUCUUCCUCUCCCCUCCCCUGUCCCCCCGGCACCUUCAGCAACAGCACUGGCCUCAGCAGUCCUGAGGAAUGUAUCAGCUGUCCACCAAGUUUCUAUUGUUUAGGUUCCAACAACACCUCACCUUCAGGUCCUUGUUUUCCUGGUUUCUACUGUACCGGUGGCUCAGCUACGCCUGUUCAGAAUGAAGCAGAGGAGGGUUAUUAUACCUUGGAGGGG